RNAcentral lists this ribosomal RNA (253 nucleotides) under uncultured Sulfitobacter sp. Its description in RNAcentral is "partial 16S ribosomal RNA". It matches the Rfam family "Bacterial small subunit ribosomal RNA", at positions 524 to 776 of the family's 1533-position model. Lineage: Bacteria; Pseudomonadati; Pseudomonadota; Alphaproteobacteria; Rhodobacterales; Roseobacteraceae. The record is from RNAcentral.
UACGGAGGGGGUUAGCGUUGUUCGGAAUUACUGGGCGUAAAGCGCACGUAGGCGGAUUAGAAAGUUGGGGGUGAAAUCCCAGGGCUCAACCCUGGAACUGCCUCCAAAACUCCUAGUCUAGAGUUCGAGAGAGGUGAGUGGAAUUCCGAGUGUAGAGGUGAAAUUCGUAGAUAUUCGGAGGAACACCAGUGGCGAAGGCGGCUCACUGGCUCGAUACUGACGCUGAGGUGCGAAAGUGUGGGGAGCAAACAGG